Long non-coding RNA from Haliotis rufescens (red abalone), 426 nucleotides. RefSeq lists it as uncharacterized. The record is from RefSeq and is a predicted model, not a curated record. The transcript is spliced from 3 exons. Lineage: Eukaryota; Metazoa; Mollusca; Gastropoda; Lepetellida; Haliotidae.
GCCUGUUGACUGAUGCUGUGUUUCUGCAGGGGAGACUGCUGUACUGUCAGCCCCAUCCCUGUCUGGAUGCUGCACACUCCCAAGCCACACCCACCCUGGAGGAAGGCGGAAUCACCCACCCUGGGCGGCAGGGGAGUGAGGGGGAUCUCAAGCUGAAGGCCAAAAUGUCUGCCCACUCGAAAGGUGUCUGCGGAGUCGUCACUAAACCUCUUGAAUAGUUUAAAGCAGCUUAAACCAAACGCGCUCAUUGUGUUGAUGGGUUUCAUUAUAGUGGCAAACAUCUGACAGGCAUCUUUUGUCCUUACAGGCGGUAGAGUUGCCCCCAGGCCUACCAGAAACCUUGGAAAGGCCUGGAAAGUUCUGUCAAGACCACUGAUCACUGGUUUGCCUGUUACGGAGUUGACAAUGUUUACUGCACUGUGUUAU